GGUAGCCAUCUAUACGGUUAGGUGCAGAUGUGGAGCUAAUGAUAGGCGCUAGACCGUAAUCAGAGACCUUAGCUUCAUAGGAGUUAGACAAUAGUAUGUUCGAAGACUUGAUGUUUCCAUGAGAAGUAGUCGAAUCACGCGAAUGUAAGUAACUAAUCGCUCUCGCAGCUCCCAAUGCAAUACCAGCUCUGGUCUCCCAGUUCAACGGAGUCCUCCCGCUUCCUUUGUUCCCUAAAAAUCCAUUUAAAUCAGCUCAAAUGACAUAACCAAUCACAACAACGCAGUGAUACUUACCGUGCAAGAGAGCAGACAAGCUUCCUCUAGACAUGUACUCAAAGACAAGAAGCUUCUCGUCACGGCUAAAGUAGUAAGCGAUCAAAGUCACAAGAUUAGGAUGACUCAUCGAUCCCAAAACCUGCAUCCUCUCUCUAAAAUCUUUCUCAGGCACCACAACGUCUCUCAACCGCUUCACAGCAACCACCAAACCAUGAUCAAAGCUCGCCUUAUACGAAGACCCAACAGAUCCUUUCCCAAGAACCUCAGCCGAAGCCUUCAACAACCCGUCCAAAUCGAAUUCCCCGAAAGACUUCACGAAAAAGAUCAAAUCUUUACUCACCACACCGCUCUCCGCCGCCGCCGCCGUUUCCUUCGGUAUAACUACGGCGGUGGAGGAAGUCGUAGCGGCGGCGACGGGAGCUGCUUCGACGUUUCUCGGCGGAGCAUUCUCCUCCGUCUUUCUCUUCCUACAGAGACAGAACAGAACCAAGAGAAGCAGUAACAAACCGACAACGCACCCGAUCACAAUUCCGACGAUAGCUCCCGUUGAUAACCCGUCACUGUCUUUAGACGGCGGAGACCUCUGAUUCGUACCUUGUGAGCUCUGGAUCAAACACAUCAGACGGUGACUGCUGAUCAGUAACAGAUUGGACCCAUCUUGGCAAAUCUACACCUUCGUUCAGUUGCUGAUGUGUUGGAGACUUCCCUGGAAUGCAACGCACCAUGUUAAUACUCCUAAAACCAAAGUUAAAAAAAAAAAAACUCUGGUUUUGUGUUUGUUACCUGUGAGUAGCUCAAGUAUUAGGACACCAAAGCUGUAAACAUCAGCUUUCUGAGAGAUUUUGCGCGCAUCGGUGACUUCAGGUGCACGGUAGCCAUCGAUACGGUUAGGUGCAGACGUGGAGCUAAUGAUAGGCGCUAGACCGUAAUCAGAGACCUUAGCUUCGUAUGAAUUAGACAAGAGAAUGUUCGAAGACUUGAUGUUUCCAUGAGAAGUUGUCGAAUCGCGCGAAUGUAGGUAACUAAUCGCUCUCGCAGCUCCCAAUGCUAUACCAGCUCUGGUCUCCCAGUUCAACGGAGUCCUCCCGUUUCCUUUGUUCCC
Molecule: long non-coding RNA, 1378 nt
Filed under: Brassica napus (rape)
Lineage: Eukaryota; Viridiplantae; Streptophyta; Magnoliopsida; Brassicales; Brassicaceae
Description: long non-coding RNA (BNAP_LNC024783)
Source: RNAcentral